CCCUAACGGAUGAGAAGGGGUAAAAUGUGUUUUUAUUUAAUUGUACACAUAAUAUCGCGGGCGAAGCCCGCGUGACGGGGGAUGCUAGUAUUUUAUAAGACAGAUCGCAUUAUUCCCUUAUUAUUAUAAAAAACAAAUAUCUGUUUAUUAAGAUAUCUCAAUAUAUUUUUAAAUAUUUAUUUUAUAUUUGGAAUUAUGUCCACUUGGUAUCAGUGUAAUCUCGCCAACAGUUGCAGAGUUCUUGUCACAUCUGCUUGAAUGGCCAAGACAUUAUCGCAGCAAACUUUUUCCGCAGGAAAACAAAUCAAAAUGAAUUAUAAUUCAUAAUAUUCUAAUAUUAUAGAACUUGAGCUAUAUUUAGCAUCCGUAUGAGUUCAAAAAUUAAUAUUUUUCUUAAUAUUAAAAACUAUUAAACAUUUGAUCAUUUGGAGAAAUAAUUGUAUAUAAGUAUUCGAUUCGAGAAUUACACAGUGCUUGUCUGACAAGGUUUACGUUAUUUACAAAAUAUUUCUUUGUAAGAAAAUAAAAUGAUAUCUUCCUACAAUGUUUCGUAUUCGAUGAACAUAGAAUAAAAUUAUUGAAAAUUUGCAUCAACAAUAAUGUUAAAAAAUACUUAUGAUUAUAACAUUCUUCAUAUAUGAUAAUAAGUAAUAGUUACGUAUGUAUGAUUAUUAUAAGGAAUAUUUCUUAUUAUUUAAAUUGAAAGGUUUUUUUUUAUUUAAAUAAUUAAAUUAUUAUCUGCAGCUAGCAACAUUCAGCACAUCAGGAUUCCACAUGAAAAUUCUUUUAAAGAUUUUAUCACAAACGCUCCCAUGUUUGAUGUAUAUCUUGAAAUACCUUUCUUUUGUGGUGAAUAAUAAAGAAGUAAGUAGACAGUUCGCAAACAAAUAUUAACAUCAAAAUAAUAGACAUCGCUUCUAAUACAUACAUUUAUAUAUGUACAUAUACAUAUAUGUAAAUUAUUCGCAAGUUUAGAUAAAAGAGUGCUAUGAACAGAUUUGCCAUGAAUGGACGCUAUUGAAAGUUCGAAGUGAGAUUAAUAUAUUAAAUAUGCCAAUUUCUCCAGAUUAUUUGGAGUUUUCAUAACGGGUAAAAAUUUGAUGCAAUUACAUUGUUUCUUUUUAUUAUCUCAAAGUAAUAAGCAAAAUUUGUGCAUUAACAAUAUUUAAAGUUAAGAUGAAAUUUAUGAAGAAUUUACUAUAUAUAUAAUGCAAAAAAAACAUACGUGUAAUUUGUGGAAUUUACGGUAUCGCUUUGUAGGCACGAGGUUUCAACAAGCAAAAUUUGAUGAUGUAACAAAUUUUAUAAAUGCCAUUUACACAACUUUUUUUGCAUUUGGUAGUGGGGAUGUUCAUAACUCUUGCCGUUUUUGGUUUCUACCAAUUUCUACCAGAUUUACUCGAUAUGAUUGCACCACUUAACGAUUCUCGCAAGCACUUUCUUACAUUCGACGCCGAGUAUUUUGUCGAUCAGAAAGAAUAUUUUUAUCCUAUCGUAACGCAUGGCUUGACAGCUGUUUUAUAUCGGAGGCACUGGAAUAGUCGCUACUGGUGGAAUGCUAAUGGGAUACAUACUUCAUAUCUGUGCAACGUUGAAGAUAGCGAGGUAAAAAUUGUUAAAGAGAAUUAUAAAAUCACUUUUAAGCGGGAAAGAAAUAAAAUAACGUUAAACUGCAUAUAUAUUAUUUAAUUAUUUAUAUAAAAAAAUUAAUGACAAACUACUAAGGAUGCCUUAGUAAUUCGCGAUCAUUAUUUAUAGUUUAAUUAUCUUCCGUCAAUUAUUCUAUUAUUCCAUUUUAUUCUAUUAUUGAAUAUUAUUACAAAUAUUAAAAAUAAAAAUAGAACUCGUACAUUUCUUUCUUUGAAAAUUGUUAUCAAUUAUAUAAUUUAUAUAAGUACUUGCAUUUGUUCCAACAAAUUUGAAUCGCAUAAAAAUCUUGUGCGACUUUACAGUUAUCGUCUUGACCAUAUAACCGAUGAUGUACCAUUAGUAUCGAGUGUUGAAAAAGAUCACAUUAUUCGUGAGAGAAUAAUCAGCGCUGUUGAUAUUCAUCGAAGAGCAAAAUCGAGUUAGUUUCAUGUAUCAAUGAACUGAAACGAACAAGCACAACAGUUACAUAAUUCUUUGCUAUCUGUAUUUCAAUAGGUUUGCAGAAUUUGUCGUCUCCAGUUUUAUGAUAUUUUAUUUUAUUUUAAUUGGCAUAGGUAUCUUGUCGUUAACUCUCAACAUGUUUCAAGUGAGUAUAUAUUUACGGUUGCGAAUUUCACGAUUCCGAUGCAGGAAUAAAUAUUUCCGAAGAUCAAAUGCAGGCGAUAACGAUAAAUUGAUAUUGGGACUUUAUCUCAUGCUGCAUAUACAUGCAUACAUGCUAUACAUGCUAUACAUGCAUACAUUAUUUAAGCAUGUAUGAAGAAAUCACGAUAUAUAUAUUUAUACAUUUGUACAAAACAUAAUUAUCAUGCAGAGUAUAUACUGAAUUAAACACUAGAUAUGAUUGAAGUAUAAUAUUUUAUAGAAGAAAAUUCGCGUUACAGCGUCUGCAAUUUAUGCUAUUAACGGACGAUGUAAACGGAAUGUUAGCAUGUGUCCUACUAAUAAUAGGCCACUUAAAUUAUUUAUUCAUAGCUAACAUGGCUGGACAGAUAGUUACAGAUCAUAAUAUCGAUAUUUUUUAUACAACCUAUACAACGCGAUGGUAUACGGUAUCGGCACAAUUGCAAAAAUUGUUGCUUUUCAUAAUGCAAAAAACUACAAAAAAUUACUAUUUUAUUGUCGGUGGCAUCUUCGCCGCUUCUUUAGAGGGUUUUGCCACGGUAAGGCAACCGCAAUCACAAUUUAGCUUCGCACUUGAAAUCGUUUGAGUAACACUAAUAAAUUAAUUAACUCUAAUAAAUACACAUUUCAGAUGAUGAGUACGUCAAUAUCUUAUUUUAUGGUGAUUUACUCCACAAGUUGAUGUACAUGUACAAUUUCAUGUAGAAUGCGACAAACCGCUAAGUAGUCAAUUGUAGAUAUACGCGACAUGACUGAGAGAGCAGGUGCAGAUGCUUCUCGGGUAUGAUGUGUUUCGACAACUUCCACGAAGAAAGAUUAUUUGGUAAAUUAAGAACUUAUAGUUUACGGUAACAUGUGUUAAAUCGCAUUAAUCUGAUCGUAGAAGAAACAUAGAAGAAGAAACAUUAAUCAAAUCGGUGCAACUAAAAAGAACCAAAACUCAUUAUCGAAAUUUCUUUACCGCUUUUUUUUAACUCUUACAUUCUCCUUUUCAUGUGCUAUCCAUGUAUUUAUAUAUUAUUGUUAUAUAUCAUUUUUAUGUAUUGUAUCAUCUGUUACAGUAUAUUAUUCAAUAAAUUUCACUUACGCUUGGGAAGAAACUAUUUUACACGUCCUUUAAUGUGUCUUUUUGUCAUUUUUGUAUUUCUGACACAAUCUCACUCAUGAAGAGCACUCACGUAACAAAACAUUCAUAGCGCGAUACUUGACAUUACUGACAACAAUGAGGCCGUUCGACGAGUCAUGUGAAAGUUCACAGCCGCGCUUGCGCUACCGUCAAAAAGGAAGGCGUAUUUUUCUCCCCUUUCUUCCUGGGAAAACCGCAUUGGGCGAGCAGAAUGCUGUUUCAAUAAUUUAACUUCUUGUCACUCCCCCCAAUGAAAAAACCACGACCGCAUGCGACCGAUUGACUCUUCCCUAAGUCGACAAACUGCCAUAAUAUUUCCCUCAAUUACGCAUUGCCAGUGGCAACAGUUUGCAAAAACAUCGACGAGAGUCUGGAAGCGGUUGAAUUUAUUCCAGCAGAAGACAUACGAAACGAUAUCUCGAUAUUAUUUUUUCCAACAUGUCUUUGAAUCGCAGAGAGAGAGAUAGCAUCGGAAAUCAGUACAAAAUAUAUCGUAUACUUCUCUUGUCACUGAGCGUAUGGCCGUUUCAGCAGUCGAAAUACACGAUACUUAUACGUUCUUUCCACUUUGGUAUAAUGAUAUCUUUUACAUUCUUUCAGCUCACAUCAUUCCUUACAAAUGAAUUAGUUCUGGAUGUCGUUAUUAUGAUUCUCUCAUAUGCCUUACCAUCCUGUAUAUGCAUGAUACAGUAUCACUCAUUUUGUUCAAAUUCUUACAUAGUGAAACGAAUAUGGGAAGAUAUCUAUAGCACUUGGAAUUUGAUGAGAAACGAAACAGAACACAAAAUAAUGCGACAAUAUAAAGCUAAAGCUGAAUACCACACGAAACUGUUUCUAACGAUUAUCAUCUCAAGCUGCAUUAUAUAUGGGAUUUUUGAAGCAAUGCCAGUCAUUCUCGACAUAAUCCUACCAUUAAAUAAGACCCGUCCACGCGAGAUUCAUGCUUUGUUAGAAUAUUUUAUCGACAAGGACGCAUACUUUUUUCCGAUCUUAUGCCAUUGGUUGAUUGGUCUGAUUAUUGGUUGUUAUGUUAUUAUAUGCGUAACUACAUCACUGCUGGUGUGUUUGCAACAUAUUAGUGGAUUAUUCAAAGUUGCCAACUAUCGUAUCGAACAUUCAGCUGAUGAUUACGUAUUUUAUAAUUCUACACAGGAGAACAAUCGCAUCGAAAACUUUAUUCGAAACAUAAGCGCCGCGGUGGAUAUACAUCAAACAGCCAUCGAGCGAUGCGAAUAUCUACUAGAUAAUUUUAUCAAACAUUUUUUCUUCAUGCUGGUAAUUGGCGUUACAUCUUUAAGUUUAAAUUUGUUCCGACUACUCAAAGCGAUUAUUACGCUAGAUGAAGUCGAGAUAGUUUCAUCAAUAUUAUUUACUAGUGGACAUUUUGUAAUUAUGUUUGUGAUUAAUUACUACGGGCAACAAAUUACAGAUUAUCAUAGCGAAAUUUUUACUGCUGCAUAUAACGUACGAUGGUACGUGACGCCAGUAAAGAUCCAAAAGUUGCUAUUAUUCAUUAUGCAAAGCACUACGAAAGCCUAUUAUUUAAAUAUAGGCAACUUAAUUGUAGCUUCGAUAGAAGGUUUUUCUAAGCUCGUAAGUAUGGCGAUAUCAUACUUCACGCUAAUCUAUUCUUUGCUGUGAUAAUAAACAAUACAGUUGGAUCGAUCACCGAUUAUAAAUAAUAUGUAGUAAAAAGUAUGUUAAAUGAUGGCAUAAUAUGCACUAGAAACAUACUACUUGUUAUGGGUAGUUCGAUUAUUAACAUCUGUAAGAAUAAAUAGAUAUAUAUGGAUGAAAGGAGACAUUUUUUAAUUUAGCUUCUUUUGUCUCAUAAAAUAUAAGUUGCUGCAGUAAACUUCGUCAGCGACGUAAACGAGCAUAUAUCUUCGAUAUAGUUAUAUCUACUAUAUAGAUAUCUACUAAAUUAUAUAAUACUAUAUACUAUAUAGAUAUCUACGGUAUAAAUAUAUAGUUUACUGCAAUUUUAUAAUCCAUAUCCAGUUUAUAGAGAAUAUUGCAUUGCAAUAUUAUUUUACAGAGGACACAAUUGGGUCGGGGGGCUGAAAUGGAAAUAAACCUUUUUCAGACCGUGACAGCAACAACACGCAAAUACGCUUGCGUUGCAUCAAUGGGGAGGGCUACAAUUGCUUAUAAAAAAUUACUGGUAAAAAGGGAGAACACUUGCAUGACUUUCUCCGAACAUCUGCAUGCGUCAUAGGUUCCUUCGUUUCGUUCGUGUCCCGGUAUAUUUACACCAUCCCCUUUGAGAGAAAGCUCGAUUUUUUCUUUUCUUCACUAUAGGCCAUGUUGGCAUAGAGGGGAAAAAAUAAAUUGUACGGGAAACGCUUAAAUUGCUGUAACUGUCACUCAUCCUACGACGUUGUGCCUCUCGCCGUCUGUUAUGCACGGCAAAAUGACCAAAAAAUUCGACAGAAGGAAGUUAUGUUACGGAGUAUGCGCAAAAGUGAAAUCUGCACUUGCGGAAAUCUGUUUGUCAUUCGCGUUUCGACCAUCGCGGAAGAAUGAACUGGUAGAUCUCUACGAUCACUACCAUGGACUUGUUCACUCAUUUGACUGGUCGAAUUAUAAUCUUAUAGGACAAUCAAAUUUCGGUGAGUGUUUCCGUACAAUCUAUAUUUUUUUGUCUGCUUCAUAUAUGCUUAUUCAGGUAGCGUUUAUACAUUUCUCUACUUUUUUGUAAUAAGUUUAAAGUGAUGUUCAAAUAAUGACGUAUUCUUGUAGACAUCUAUGUGUCUACAUGAGACGUAUACGCAUACACGUAUACGCAUACACGUGAAAUAGUGUAUUGCGCACGCAUAGUUUGAAAAAUAACCGGAUUGAAAUUAUGUGAAUUUGAAUCUUGAUCUGUAAAAUGUGUAUGUGUAAAAA
RNAcentral lists this unclassified non-coding RNA (6289 nucleotides) under Ooceraea biroi (clonal raider ant). RNAcentral's name for it is "putative odorant receptor 92a, transcript variant X4". Lineage: Eukaryota; Metazoa; Arthropoda; Insecta; Hymenoptera; Formicidae. The record is from RNAcentral.